RNAcentral lists this ribosomal RNA (462 nucleotides) under uncultured bacterium. RNAcentral's name for it is "partial 16S ribosomal RNA". It matches the Rfam family "Bacterial small subunit ribosomal RNA", at positions 28 to 507 of the family's 1533-position model. The record is from RNAcentral.
GACGAACGCUGGCGGCGUGCUUAACACAUGCAAGUCGAACGGUAAGGCCCUUCGCUUUAUCCCUGCGGCUAACUGGCGAGUAACACGUUGGUGAUUUGCCCUUCUCUUCCGGAUAAUCCUGUAAAACUUGGACUAAUACCCUAUUAGCCCAUGCGCCUCGUGGUGGCUUGUUCAACGCUUUUGCGGUGUGGGAUGGGCCCGCGGCGUAUCGGCUUGUUGGUGGGGUAAUGGCCUACCAAGGCGACGACGGGUAGCCGGCCUGAGAGGGUGACCGGCCACACUGGGACUGAGAUACGGCCCAGACUCCUACGGGAGGCAGAAGUGGGGAAUAUUGCACAAUGGGCGCAAGCCUGAUGCAGCAACGCCGCGUGAGGGAUGACGGCCUUCGGGUUGUAAACCUCUUUCAAUAGGGAAGAAGCGCAAGUGACGGUACCUAUAGAAAAAGCACCGGCAAACUACGUG